This 253-nucleotide ribosomal RNA is filed under the name uncultured bacterium. Its description in RNAcentral is "partial 16S ribosomal RNA". It matches the Rfam family "Bacterial small subunit ribosomal RNA", at positions 524 to 776 of the family's 1533-position model. The record is from RNAcentral.
UACGUAGGUGGCAAGCGUUAUCCGGAUUUAUUGGGUGUAAGGGGCGUGUAGGCGGGAGCGCAAGUCAGAUGUGAAAACUCAGGGCUCAACCCUGAGCCUGCAUUUGAAACUGUGUUUCUUGAGUGCUGGAGAGGCAAUCGGAAUUCCGUGUGUAGCGGUGAAAUGCGUAGAUAUACGGAGGAACACCAGUGGCGAAGGCGGAUUGCUGGACAGUAACUGACGCUGAGGCGCGAAAGCGUGGGGAGCAAACAGG